AACGAACGCUGGCGGCAGGCUUAACACAUGCAAGUCGAACGCACCUUUCGGGGUGAGUGGCAGACGGGGGAGUAAAGCGUGGGAAUCUACCCUUCUCUACGGGAUAGCUCCGGGAAACUGGAAUUAAUACCGUAUACGUCCUGAGGGAGAAAGAUUUAUCGGGGAAGGAUGAGCCCGCGUUGGAUUAGCUAGUUGGUGGGGUAAAGGCCUACCAAGGCGACGAUCCAUAGCUGGUCUAAGAGGAUGAUCAGCCACAUUGGGACUGAGACACGGCCCAAACUCCUACGGGAGGCAGCAGUGGGGAAUAUUGGACAAUGGGCGCAAGCCUGAUCCAGCCAUGCCGCGUGAGUGAUGAAGGCCCUAGGGUUGUAAAGCUCUUUCAGUGGGGACGAUAAUGACGGUACCCACAGAAGAAGCCCCGGCUAACUUCGUG
RNAcentral lists this ribosomal RNA (433 nucleotides) under uncultured bacterium. RNAcentral's name for it is "partial 16S ribosomal RNA". It matches the Rfam family "Bacterial small subunit ribosomal RNA", at positions 29 to 507 of the family's 1533-position model. The record is from RNAcentral.